CCUACGGGUGGCAGCAGUGAGGAAUAUUGGUCAAUGGGCGGGAGCCUGAACCAGCCAAGUCGCGUGAGGGAAGAAGGUACUGAGUAUUGUAAACCUCUUUUGCCAGGGGACAAAGGCGGCCACGGGUGGCCGUAAGCCGGUACCUGGAGAUACAGCAUCGGCUAACUCCGUGCCAGCAGCCGCGGUAAUACGGAUGAUGCGGGGGUUAUCCGGGUUUAUUGGGUUAAAGGGGUGGGCAGGCGGCGUGUCAAGUCGGCGGGAAAAUGUCGGGGCCAAACCCCGGCCCGCCGUUGAAACUGGCUGGCUGGAGAUGUGGAGAGGUAUGCGGAAUGCGCAGUGUAGCGGUGAAAUGCUUAGAUAUUGCGCAGAACUCCGAUGGCGAAGGCAGCAUACCGGCGGCGAUCUGACGCUGAGGCACGAAGGCGUGGGUAUCGAACAGGAUUAGAUACCCGGGUAGUC
Molecule: ribosomal RNA, 459 nt
Filed under: uncultured bacterium
Lineage: Bacteria
Description: partial 16S ribosomal RNA
Rfam family: Bacterial small subunit ribosomal RNA
Source: RNAcentral